This 393-nucleotide ribosomal RNA is filed under the name uncultured bacterium. RNAcentral describes it as "partial 16S ribosomal RNA". It matches the Rfam family "Bacterial small subunit ribosomal RNA", at positions 523 to 918 of the family's 1533-position model. The record is from RNAcentral.
AUACGGAGGACGCGAGCGUUAUCCGGAUUCAUUGGGUUUAAAGGGUGCGCAGGCGGCCGUGCAAGUCAGCGGUGAAAGCCCGGGGCUCAACCCCGGAAGUGCCGUUGAUACUGCAUGGCUGGAAUGCGGUCGAGGCGGGCGGAAAGGGGCGUGUAGCGGGGAAAUGCGUAGAUAUUCCACAGAACGCCGAUGGCGGAGGCAGCUCGCCAGGCCUGCAUUGACGCUCGGGCACGAAAGCGUGGGGAUCGAACAGGAUUAGAUCCCCUGGUAGUCCACGCCGUAAACGAUGGGCGCUCGUCGUCGGCGGCAGACAGUCGGCGGCCAAGCGAAAGCGAUAAGCGCCCCACCUGGGGAGUACGGUCGCAAGGCUGAAACUCAAAUGAAUUGACGGGG